UGGGGAAUUUUGGACAAUGGGCGCAAGCCUGAUCCAGCCAUGCCGCGUGAGUGAAGAAGGCCUUCGGGUUGUAAAGCUCUUUCGGCGGGGACGAAAUGGUUCGUGCCAAUACCACGGACUGAUGACGGUACCUGAAGAAGAAGCACCGGCUAACUACGUGCCAGCAGCCGCGGUAAUACGUAGGGUGCAGGCGUUAAUCGGAAUUACUGGGCGUAAAGCGUGCGCAGGCGGUUUGUUAAGACAGAUGUGAAAUCCCCGGGCUUAACCUGGGAACUGCGUUUGUAACUGGCAGACUGGAGUGUGGCAGAGGGGGGUGGAAUUCCAAGUGUAGCAGUGAAAUGCGUAGAUAUUUGGAGGAACACCGAUGGCGAAGGCAGCCCCCUGGGCUAACACUGACGCUCAUGCACGAAAGCGUGGGGAGCAAACAGGAUUAGAUACCCCCGUAGUCCCUGAGCGGGCUGGCAAGGCG
RNAcentral lists this ribosomal RNA (469 nucleotides) under uncultured bacterium. Its description in RNAcentral is "bacterial SSU rRNA". It matches the Rfam family "Bacterial small subunit ribosomal RNA", at positions 355 to 822 of the family's 1533-position model. The record is from RNAcentral.